UUUGCUUAAACAAGUUUGUGUAGUUCGCCCAGACAUUUGCUUGUUGCGGUAAGACAUUUAAAAUAAGCUUCUUUAAAUUCAAAGAACUAAGACAAAAUUUGAAAGGGGAUCUCUCAUUCCAGAAAUGAUUGCAUGUAGUCUAAUAAGAAAGCCUCGGGGAUAUAAAAUAAAUCGUAAAAGCCAGUAUUUGUGUAGUCUGAUGCAGAUUAUAUAAAUAUCGGUAUUAAUUUGGUACUAAAAAGGGAAUAUAUACUGAUAAGGUUACUGAUUAGGUUAUCAGUGGUAUCUGUAUUUGCAUGCAUACAGAUAAGUUCAGCUGCCGGUUACCGCAUUGUAUAACAAUGGUCUGCUCAGGGUAGCUAAAAAAAGUUUUAGGUUACUGAUAAGUUAUCAGGGUUAUCUGUAUUUCUUAAGGUUAAUUAGAUAGCAUGCGUACAGAUAAGUUCAGCUGCCGGUUACCGCAUUGUAUAACAAUGGUCUGCUCAGGGUAGCUAAAAAAAGGUAUAGAUAAAUUAAGCUUCCGGUUACCGCAUUGAUUAGCAAUGGUCUGCUCGGGGAAGGUAUAGAUAAAUUUAGCUUCCGGUUACCGCAUUGAUUAGCAAUGGUCUGCUCGGGGAAGAUAUAGAUAAAUUAAGCUUCCGGUUACCGCAUUGAUUAGCAAUGGUCUGCUCGGGGAAGGUAUAGAUAAAUUUAGCUUCCGGUUACCGCAUUGAUUAGCAAUGGUCUGCUCGGGGAAGGUAUAGAUAAAUUUAGCUUCCGGUUACCGCAUUGAUUAGCAAUGGUCUGCUCGGGGAAGUUGUAAAGUUGUUUGUCAUUUUAAAGUUGUUAAUUUUAAAGUUGUUUGUCAUUGUGUCAGUAAGUGUUAUAGUUUAAAGAGUUUUUUUUUAGUAAGUAAAACUGAUAGGGAGUGGAGUACAGAGUAAAAGCUUUUAUGUGUGCGUGUCUGUGGGAUCCUGUGUGUCUGCUUGACUGUGCCUGUGGUUAAAAAAUAGGGGACAAGGAAUGUUUGAAUGAUGUGUAUGUAGUAAAAGUAAAGGAAAUAGUAAAGAAUAACAAUUGUUUCAAAAUAUUAACCUGGGAGAUUAUUGUAGUGUAGUAUGAAAUAAGCUAAAGUUAUAAAAUAAAUAUUUAAUUAAUAAUUAUAAUGAUGUGUAUAUAUAUAUAUAUAUAUAUAUAUAUAUAUAUAUAUAUAUAUAUAUAUUGAUAAAGAUGAAUAUAAAUGCACGUGCUUAAUUUAUUAUAUCUUAAAUCUGAAGACGUCUAAAAUUUGUAUCUCAUUAUCCCUUAAGACGGAUUGAAAAAAAAAAAAAGUAUUCCAUUGUAGAUAAAGUUUGUGCUAAGAAAAAAUAACUUGCAGUCUGCUAAAAGUGAACAGGAUUGGGUGACCAAGUUUCAACAUACAUAAAUAACUUACAGCAAUCUUAGAACUGUAGUAAAGGGGAUUAUUGAAAAUGGGUAAGGAAAAGUUUAUUCACCAUGUGAGAUUAUUUUGAGCACAGCAUGUAAAUUUAGGAAAGAUUAAAAGCUGAUUUUAUAAUAGGGAAAAUUAUUUAGAUUAUACUCAGAUAAUCAAAGUUAGAUUAUUGCAUAUUGCAAAGAAGAAAUGGCUUGCUUUUUCCUGCAACGAAGAACUUGCUUCAGUAAAAACAGAAUGGGAGAACUGCUGGUGUCAACCAGUGAUUAUUAUAUAAAAAAACUAGGAAAAGAAAAAGAGCUAAUUGCUCAGCAACAAAUUUGAUUCAUGCAGUUCUCUGAGUGUUCUAAUUUCAGAUGGUUUCAGUGUCCAAUGGAAGAGGUGAAAGGUCAAAGAGACAACUGCAGAGAGGAGAAGAGGGUGAGGAGUGUUCAGCUCCCUCCUGAAGAUGACCACUUUCUGGAAAUUCAACAUGGAGAAAGACUGAUUAAUGCUGGAAAAGGUGAAACUUUCACUAUUUCACUGGAGACGUUUUCCUGAGGACAAAGAGGAAAAUCCUGACAUGCUGAGGCUAAAUCUAUCAAAAGCCUGAACUCAGAAGAGGCAGAGAAACAAGAGAGCCUAUAUUACAGUCUGCAACACAAGACCUUUGAGUGACAGCGGACGACACAUGCAGAGAAACAGCCAAGAAGAUUCAAAAGACUGAGAAAAACAAGCAAACAGAGAAACUGACUGACACCCUUCCCUCACGGGCAACACAGGUGUGGCGACUCCAAUGAUCACUCUAUAGAGAAUGCUCCAAAUUUGGUUAAUUAUUAGAUUAACUUUAUUCGAUUAUUCACUGGUCUUAUAAGCACUUCUUAAUAUUCUCUGCUAAACUAACCCUCUCUGCUUUUCCAGUAGGUUAAGUCCAGCCCUAUAAAAAAAGAAAGAAAGUACACUAAAAGAGACAAGUGGGUGCUCAACUCACUAAAUAGAUCAAACUGAGGCUGGAUGUGGUAUAGUGAGGGUCAUUAAAUGAAACGACUAUAUGGCUAAAAGCAUGAGAAAAAUGAUUUUUGUAGGGAAAAAAACACUAAAAUAUGGAAAACUGUCAAAGAAUUAUUAUUAUUGUUGGCAAAGCAAUGAUACUGGUCACUCCAUUGUGUUUUGAUCAUUUCCUAGACAUAGAUUGGAGAAAAAAUUACUCCAAAAGUAAAAAAAAAAAAAUAUAUGAAAUCGCAAAUGCUGUCAAUACUGGGAUAAUGAGAUGGAAAUGUUGUUGGCCAUGGAUCCAAUAUUAUGCAGAGAUCUCAAAUUUGAUUCUUAAAGCAGCUCAUGAGCAAAAACCAAAAAGAAUAGGAGAAAUCAGAACAACAAAUAAGAAAAAAAUAAUAAUAUGCAUUUGAAAAAUUACAAUUGAAAGGCCAAAUUAUUCUAAAUUACUCAGUCUAUUAGAGCUUAUAAAAGAAAAAAAGGUUAUAAAAAUUGUGUAAACUAAACCUUGAUCAUUGACACUUCUCAGUAGUGGUUAACAGUUGUGUUGACCUGAUCUUACCUUGUGUUUAAAAUUAUAAGAUGCCGCAUUUAUAGCACAACCUGCUGAAGAGCAAGAAUGUAUGCUGGCCAGUGUGUGUGAGAAUGACUGAGUGUGAAAGGAGUGAGAGAUGGCGCUUGAAGAAACACUAAGGCAAAUAAAUUACAGUAUUUUGCCAAUACAGCUGUAUUUAAUCUUUAAAAUGUGGGCCCACAGGGCAAAUUCUGCCCAAUAAAAUAAUGAAUAUGGAUGAAUUUGAUUAAAUUUCCUGGUUGGAACUAUGGUGGCAAUAUGAAAAAGGAAAAAGGAAAAAAAUGAUAAAGGAAAAGGAAAAAAGAUGGAAAAAAAAUUGAAAAACCAAUCCCAUAACUGCGCAGCGCAUAACAUAUCUGACUUUCUUUGCAGCAUAACACAACUGAAUUUAUUUGCAGCAUAUCAAGAGGAGCUGAUCUUUGUCAAAAGUAUGAAAUAUUGUCUGGUAACUUUUGUCUUGUAACAAAGUGGGUUGAGUGUUGUCCAAGAUAUCCAAUAAAUAGUGCUGAUAGUGGAACUCAAGACAAAGAGAUAACUGAGUUGAAUUGACUAAUUGUAAGAGUACACUGGAAUUUUAUUAAAAUAUAAAUUUAUUAUAAGAAAAAUGAAGGAAAUUAAAAGAAAGAAAUGAAAGAAGUUACAAUUAUGAUGUUAAAAAGCCAAACUAUAUAAAAAACAAGGAGAAUAUAUGGAUUAAAGUCCUGAUGUUUAUGAAAGGGCCAGGACACCACUCAGCCUACAUGACCUUUCUACAGGAAACACCAAGGAGGACAAUGGGACAGAUAUGCAGAUGAUUGAAAUCACAUCAUGUUGUCACUAACAAAAAUAAUUAAGCUUUAAUUCACAGAUAGCUGCAGCUUAAUUACGGGAAGGGGACGAGUCUAACAAAAAGAACCAUUGGUACGUUUUGUAAUUUCAGAAGAAGUGAUCAACAGAGUGACAUUUGAGUCCAUGCUUCUCAACUUAAAAUACACCAACCGACUUAAGCAACCCCCCACAAAGGGAGUGAGGGAUCAUGCUGACCAGAGUCCAUUGCAAUGAACAACUCAAAAGUCAUCCUGAUAAAAGAUGUAAAGAUGACCAGAGAGCUAACAGAAUGAUCAAAUCAUAAAUGUAAAAAGACAACAAACUUGACCAGUAAUGCAAGAAUGAGAAGAGCUGUUCAAAGAAGAGAGACUCAACAGAGAUGAGUAAAAGCUCAAACAACAGUCAACAUCAACCAAACUAUCCUGUGAUUGAAGGUUCAGCCCUUGAAUAGAUUCAGUACCAACUUAAUAAUAACCCCAACAGAACAAAAAAUGAUCGAAGAGAAAAAUAUAUCAAAGUAACGUAAAAACAAUGAUAAUGCAAAAUUAAGAAAAGAAAGUAGAAUAAUGAUAAAGAUUAAUUUAAGAAAUUGAUAGGGUAAAGCAUGAAUUAAGAUAAUUCAUGAAGGAAAAAUUAGAACUAAAAAGAACUUUUAAAAUAAAUCUUAGUUGGUAUAUAAUUGGGCAAUACAAGGGUAUACAAAAUUAAUUUAGACAAAGGGUAUACAAAAUUAAUUUAAUUAAUAAGAUUACGAAUUGAUAUAUUGACUAAUUAUAAAAUUACAUCAAACCAAUAACAAACAGAUCCUCCUAAAACAAUCUAAAUGGCACCAGAGGGGGGUAAAAAAAAAAAAAUAUUUGGCAUUCACAUGAAGCAUAGAUUAUUGAACCAACAAUGCGCAAUGGUAUUAAACCAGUGCGCAAAGGGGGGAGUAAGGUAAGAAAAUUAAUUAAGGAUAAGGAAAUUUAAAUUAAGGCAGAAAUAGUAAGGUAAAAUUAACUAAUUAAGAAAGGAUAAGGAAAUUUAAAUUAAGGCAGAAAUAGUAAGGUAAGAUUAACUAAUUAAGAAUAAGGAAAUUCAAAUUAAGCCAGAACAGAAAUUGAAAUUAAAAUAAGUUAAAAUUAAAGGCAGUCAUUUUAAAAUGAAAGGCAUGUUUUGUGAAAUUUGUGGCAAAAACGAAGUUAAGAAAAAGAACAGCGACAAAAAUAGGCCAUAAGUCAGUAUCAGAAAGGCUAUUAAACAAUUUGGUAAGAAAUAUGUGGACAAGAUAUGGAUGGGUAAAAGCAAUGAAAUCAACAGAGGAGGGACAGGAACAGAAAUUAAAUCUCUAACAGAGAAGUAAUCCAUAGAUUGGAAGUCUUUCAGAAAUAAGGUCAGAUAAUGAAUUAGCUGAACAGAAGUAUUGAAGAUUAAAUAAGUUGCAUAUACGAACACAAGGAAGUUUUAAUAAUAAAGAAGUUAUAAUGCUAAUGGUUUAAAUAAAAAUAAAAACCUUAGAUUGUUAGAUAUACAGAAAAAAUAAAUCUACAUAUAAGGUAUAUGUAAGAGUGCAAAAAGUUGUUUGCUAGAGUUAUUUUUCUAAUUGUCGAAAGAGUUUAUUGAAUGACUUUUAUGAGGUCAAUGUAUAACAUUGCUCUGGAGCUUUCUUAGUUAGAGUGAGUACAUGAGACAUAAUUAGUUUAUUCAAGAUAGUUUAUUUAGAAAUUAGUAGAAAAGAAGAAGAAGUAUUCAGUUAAGGUAGUAUUGAACUAAAGAAUAAAGAGAAUAGGAAGCAACACGCAAGAUUAAAAAAUCAAAACGUAAUUUGAAAUGUAAAACUUUUGACAAAAUGCGAAACCUAUUGUGAUUGUUAAAUAGAAAGGUACAAUACAAUGUUCUGUUUGUUCAUCUGCUACAAAAAGAACUGACUGACUUAAAGACUGAUUCUUUGAAUUUAAGAAGUGAUAUUGCUUCAUAAUAUGUGAUAAAAAUGAAAGAGUUAUUUUUACCUAGCCUUAUUUUGAAUUAAGUCAUAUGGAUCAUGCAAAACCAAAAUGCAUAAUGAAUCAAUUAGACUAUUAUAAUAAGCAAAGAUUUAUUAUAAUGCUUUGUCUGCAUUAGGAAAAAAACAUUUAUGUGAAAAAGUAAAAUGACUUCUUUUUGGAGAUCAGUGCUACUAAAAAAUAUAUAUAUAUAUAUAUAUAUAUAUAUAUAAAUAAUAUACUAAAUAGUAUUGUGCAGGGAAAAUUCAGCAAUAACAAUUAAGUGGGAGAAAACCUUAAGAGCAGAGGUUAAGUGGAAAACUUAAUGUAAAACUGGGAAAAUUAUGGUUUGCUCAAUUAGGAAUGUUUUUUGAGGUAAAAUUUUGAAAGUGGGUUAUUAUUCUGUUGUGUACUUUGCAUAUUAAGAUCAUCGGUUGCCAAAAACUACAGUUAAACAAAUGGAGGUGCUAAAAUGUCAAGGAAAUGGGAAAAUAAGUCUAGAGGACAGCCAAGGUAUUACCAAGAUACCAAUGGGAUUUUACAAGCAUUGGAUACGGAUUCAAGUACCUCAAUUGAGGACGAAACAGAUGAUUGAUGAGCCAGACCCUGGGUGUAAGUACUGGCCUGCCCUCUCCCCAGUGGUGACCCUCUACGAUACGCAAAGUGUCUGGGUCGAAGAGGAAGUCUACGCUACAAGGAAAACUUUUAACAGUAUAAGAGACUUUUAUGUUUGACGUACACUAAAUAACUGCGACAUCCACAGACAAGGCCGAGCAAAAGUACACGCUUAUGCUUAUAAUAAUGUUUAAUGUUUGUCUUGUUAGGGAGAACUCGAGUCUUUUACUUUUUCCAUUAACAAAAAAGAAAAAAAAAGACAACUAAAAGAAAUAAAAUGUAUGGAAGAAGAUGUUUGGCUCGAGUGCUCCUCCAGGAGUGUGGUGGCAUAAUCUAGUCAUUGGAAAGGAGAAUGGGUGACUCAGUUGAGUCACUAGGUAGCAUAACUGAGGGGGCUGGAUUUUGAAACUACACUCUGGAAAGGAGUUUACAGUGGGGCUUAAAUAAGCCCCAGAGGAGGGAAUGUAGAAGAUUUUAUUAUUUAGAAAACAAGUAACUUAGCUAUAUAAGAAACCACAUUUAGUUCCUGAAACUUUGGGUCUGACAUUUAGAAGCCCAAUGCUGAUACACCAGAAUACUAUUUCAGUAUGUCACAUGGUACAAUGUAUUUUUAAAACUAUCUAUAGGAUGUCUGACCUUAUAUGGAAGAGGAUGUAUGUAUAUAACUCUGAACACAAAAGAUUCGAGAGCGCAAUAGGGCCGGAGGGCCGGAGGGCCAGCAGGCCAGAGCGUUAGAGCAACUAUGCUGCAGAAGUUGCUCGGCUUUGUUUGUGAAUAAAGUCUAAUAUUUCUGGCA
Molecule: non-coding RNA, 7142 nt
Organism: Pimephales promelas (fathead minnow)
Lineage: Eukaryota; Metazoa; Chordata; Actinopteri; Cypriniformes; Leuciscidae
Source: RefSeq, a predicted model, not a curated record